Non-coding RNA from Grammomys surdaster, 602 nucleotides. NCBI's taxonomy places the organism in Eukaryota, Metazoa, Chordata, Mammalia, Rodentia, Muridae. The record is from the annotation of a RefSeq genome assembly.
GUGUGAUGGUGCCAGGGCAGCUGAGAGCAAGGACUGAAUCUGAAGCUAGCUUCCAGUAUGGCAUGGACGCGCUUGCUGUGGAUGCUCUUGGUUUCCACUUCUCUUGGAGCCAGCAUGGCUCAGACAGUCUCUCAGCCUCAGCAGGAAAAGUCUGUGCAGGAGACAGAGUCCAUAACCCUGGACUGCACCUAUGACACGAGUGACACUAAUUACUACUUAUUCUGGUACAAACAGCAAGGAGGACGGGUGACUCUCGUUAUUCGACAAGAAGCUUACAAGCAACAUAAUGCAACAGAGAAUCGCUUCUCUGUGAACUUCCAGAAAGCAGCUAAGUCCUUCAGCCUUGAGAUCUCAGACUCGCAGCUGGGGGAUGCUGCGAUAUAUUUCUGUGCACUCAUGGAGCGCCACAGUGAUACAGGCAACAGAGACGGGCUAACAGAAACCUCAGAUCUCAGCAUCUGUGCAAAAUGGCAGGAAGUGGCUGGGGUACCAGCGGCAUACAAAAAAAGACUUUCUUUUCUCUAGAGGAAAAAGUACUCAUAUGCAACUGUAGGAAACACGGAUAUAAUUCUAUAAACUUAAGUUCUCAAAACAAUAAUAAA